UGGUUUGGUGCGAUCGCGUGAGACAGCGUCAGGCGCUUGAUUUCCCUGAGUCCCGGUGCCUCAGCUGCCCAGUGCCCACGUUCGUAAGAAGGCAACAAGUUCUUCUCCUCUACAGAAGGAUUUUGCAAACAAUUCGGCAAGUUCCAAAUGAUUCUGAUCGCAAAUACCUGAAAGAUUGGGCAAGAGAAGAAUUCAGAAGAAACAAAAGUGCCACCGAAGAGGUGAGAACAAAAUCAUGGAUACAAUCCGGAUGAUGAUUACUCAAGGCAAUAUGCAGCUCAAGGAGUUAGAAAAAACACUUGCUUUAGCAAAAUCUUAACUAUAGCAUUAUUCUGAAGGAUUUUCAAAGUCUCCAUGUGUUUUGUUGCAUUUAGGAUUAACAAUGGACAACACAAAGCCCAGUCUUACUAUUUAUAUGUACAGUAUUUGGUGAUAGAGAGCAAAGGAAAAACACAUCAGAACAGUUGCCUUAACACUGAAAAACAUACCCUGCAUUUUGAAAAUGUUUAUGGAUGUCUCAGCAGUUCUUAAAAGAAGAAAAAAACCACUAACAAAUGGCCAGUAG
Molecule: long non-coding RNA, 565 nt
Filed under: Homo sapiens (human)
Lineage: Eukaryota; Metazoa; Chordata; Mammalia; Primates; Hominidae
Description: non-protein coding lnc-LYRM2-2:5
Source: RNAcentral